UCUAAUCUUAUAUCUUAUAUAUUAAUAUACAGAAAAUAGGCCUUUUUGGACCGUGGCCACCCUCUUUUACGUAUAUACCCUCGCUGAUUUCUACAUCAAAACCGUGCAGCAAAUGUUACAAUCGUAACUUAACUUAAAAAUAGGAAACCAGUUUCGUUUUCUCUUUCGUCCUCGGUCCCAACUCUUCUUUUACGUCUGAAACACCUCCAGCAUCUCCGCCAUAGUUUCUAAAACACUUCCACCAUGAAAGAAGAACAACAGAUGCGACAAGUAUGAGACCUAACAAUAGAUUUCAACCCAGCAACCAUUGCAAUUGCUUUCUGUUCCUUAUGCUACGGAACAAGUGAGGCCUUAACAUCACAUUCCAACUCAGUUAUAUAUCUUUGCAGUAAUGGAAGGCGUAAAAGUCUUGGUUCCCUGUCGUAUCCUUAAAGUCAUAGAGCACACUCGAAUUCAACAGUUGAUAGAAACGUCGACUGAACACAACACAGUACCAGAACUCCGUAGAAGUCCUAAAUUGCUGAGCAAUCUCGAAUUCGAGAAAAAGAUGGAUAUGAUAAAUGAAAGGAAAAGGCAACGUUGCCAUCAUUUGGACCCCCAUCAAAGAGCUUAUGAGCUACAGCAGCGCCGAAUUCUUGAGAGAGCCAAACAAAACUCAAUGACAAUACACGAAAGGGAAGCUUUCCUUGAAAAACGACGUAAUCAAUACCGAAUUCAGUCAUCACAACAACGACUCCAGAAUAAAAAUGGGUAACAAGCUGGAACGAGUAAUGGUAAGCAAGAAUAUGUUUACUGUUGAUAUUGUUUUAUUUAUUGUCAUCUUUUUCAAGCAACCGGUGAUGGUGAUUAUGUACGCUACGAAGACAAUUUACGUCUUUGAAUGAAAAGUGCAAUUCCUUUUUGGUACAAAUUAUAGUUUUCGGUUUAGGGUACUAACUGUCAUCUGGUAAGUUUACGUCUGUGAAGACAAUUCGUCUAACUGUUAUCUGGUAAGUUUGGUCAUUUGUGUACAUUUAAUCAGCUCGAGAAUUGAUUUCUAGCUCUGUAUUGUUUUCUUACUCUUAAGGGAAGGAUUACAAAAGAAGGUGGUUUAUGUCAUCUAAAAAGACUUUACUGGAUGAUACGCACUACUUAGCAGGAGCGAUAUUCUGUGUACUACGCCAUUAUCAACAAUAGUGCAAAUGUGAAUAUAGGAGUUUGAUCUUUUUCACUUUUGGGUUAGUGGAAUGCAUAGGGAUGCUCUCAUAGCUGUCUUUUGUGGUCAUUUUGCCACAACUUGGACAUAAUUUGCUGGUGGCUAAAAAUUGUAAUGAUUUUCUCAUAGUAUGAGCUUUAGUUGCAUGGUAAAUUUUUAGUUCAUGUUGUCGAGAUCCUUAUUUUGUACUUUAGAGAUAAGCUGAGUUGUGAGACUGUAUUUAGUAUAGCUGUCUUUUAUAUUCCUUGAGGCCAAUGAAAAUAUGUUUUGCCUGGGGGCCAUUUGAUGUUUAAAAUGUGUCCAGCUUUCCGUUGCCUGGGGGCCAUUUGAUGUUCCAAAUGUGUCCAUCUUUCCAACGGAGAUUCAAUAUUAGCUGUAUAAGAUUUGUGCAUUAAGUAUAGUUGUUCGUAUUGGGUUUAUGUACUUAUUUCAGAAUUCAUUAGUUUGAGGCAAUUGGGGUUCUCACAAACAUUGAAUCCAGAACAUAUCCAUAUGGUGGAGAGAAGGUUGGAUUCAAUAGUUCUUCUGAGGAAUUGGGUUUGAGUGACUAGCACUUCCUACACUGUUUUAACUCAGAAGAUUCAUGAUGGCCCAUUGGGAUUCACACAUGUUCCUGCCGCUGACAUCGAUUAUAAUGUAUAGUUAGAUGAUGGCAUGGGUUUUGAAUGAGUUUUUGGAAUUUCAUGGUUACUCUCUGAUGAUCGUUACAGAAAGGCUAUGAUCCUGGUGGAUCACUAGGUAGAUAGGCUGCAAUGCGGACUACUCUUCAGUAGGUUUCCAAAAGCUAUAACGAGGAACCCAAACAUACAUGUGUAAGUCGUUGACGAGGAAGGUUGCUUUCAGUUUGGGCUUCUAUACAAGUAUCGUAGUUAGUGUUAAACUCUUCAUCCUGCAACGCACUACACUUUAGGGCGGAUGAAAUCGAUGUAUUGAUUGAAUAACCAGCUAAUCUUGGGUCAUUUGUUGGCCGAGUCUUUUAAUAUUUUUUACAUUUUAACUUAAUUGUAAUCUUUAGACGAGAUUUUCCUGUAAAAUAAAUACUAGAGCUUGAGUUGGCUAAUCAUUUUCUACAUGUCUUCAAUAAUUCAAAAUUUUAAG
Molecule: RNA transcript, 2293 nt
Organism: Papaver somniferum (opium poppy)
Lineage: Eukaryota; Viridiplantae; Streptophyta; Magnoliopsida; Ranunculales; Papaveraceae
Exons: 6
Source: RefSeq, a predicted model, not a curated record